AUACGUAGGGUGCGAGCGUUAAUCGGAAUUACUGGGCGUAAAGCGUGCGCAGGCGGUUUUGUAUGACAGAGGUUAAAUCCCUGGGCUCAACCUGGGAACUGCAUUUGUGACUGCAAGGCUAGAGUACGGCAGAUGGGGAUGGAAUUCCGGGUGUAGUAGUGAAAUGCGUAGAUAUGAGGAGGAACACCGGUGGCGAAGGCAAUCCCCUGGGCCUGUUCUGACGCUCAUGCACGAAAGCGUGGGGAGCAAACAGUGUUAGAUCCCCUGGUGGUCCACGCUCAAAACGAUGUCAACUGGUUGUGGGGUAUUCAUUGCCUCAGGGACGAAGCUAACGCGUGAAGUUGACCGCCUGGGGAGUACGGCCGCAAGGUUGAAACUCAAAGGAAUUGACGGGG
RNAcentral lists this ribosomal RNA (395 nucleotides) under uncultured bacterium. RNAcentral describes it as "partial 16S ribosomal RNA". It matches the Rfam family "Bacterial small subunit ribosomal RNA", at positions 523 to 918 of the family's 1533-position model. The record is from RNAcentral.